Molecule: ribosomal RNA, 466 nt
Filed under: uncultured bacterium
Lineage: Bacteria
Description: partial 16S ribosomal RNA
Rfam family: Bacterial small subunit ribosomal RNA
Source: RNAcentral
GAUGAACGCUGGCGGCGUGCUUAACACAUGCAAGUCGAACGGAAAGGCUCCUGCUUGCAGGGGUACUCGAGUGGCGAACGGGUGAGUAACACGUGGGUGAUCUGCCCUGCACUUCGGGAUAAGCCUGGGAAACUGGGUCUAAUACCGGAUAGGACGAUGGUUUGGAUGCCAUUGUGGAAAGUUUUUUCGGUGUGGGAUUAGCUCGCGGCCUAUCAGCUUGUUGGUGGGGUAAUGGCCUACCAAGGCGUCGACGGGUAGCCGGCCUGAGAGGGUGUACGGCCACAUUGGGACUGAGAUACGGCCCAGACUCCUACGGGAGGCAGCAGUGGGGAAUAUUGCACAAUGGGCGCAAGCCUGAUGCAGCGACGCCGCGUGGGGGAUGACGGCCUUCGGGUUGUAAACUCCUUUCGCUAGGGACGAAGCGCAAGUGACGGUACCUGGAGAAGAAGCACCGGCUAACUACGUG